This 245-nucleotide ribosomal RNA is filed under the name uncultured Syntrophaceae bacterium. RNAcentral describes it as "partial 16S ribosomal RNA". It matches the Rfam family "Bacterial small subunit ribosomal RNA", at positions 524 to 768 of the family's 1533-position model. Lineage: Bacteria; Pseudomonadati; Thermodesulfobacteriota; Syntrophia; Syntrophales; Syntrophaceae. The record is from RNAcentral.
UACGGAGGGUGCAAGCGUUGUUCGGAAUUAUUGGGCGUAAAGAGCGUGUAGGCGGCCUAGUAAGUCAGAUGUGAAAUCCCUUGGCUUAACCAAGGAAGGGCAUUUGAAACUGCUUGGCUUGAGUACGGGAGGGGGAAGUGGAAUUCCCGGUGUAGAGGUGAAAUUCGUAGAUAUCGGGAAGAACACCAGUGGCGAAGGCGGCUUCCUGGAUCGAUACUGACGCUGAGACGCGAAAGCGUGGGGAG